RNAcentral lists this ribosomal RNA (482 nucleotides) under uncultured bacterium. RNAcentral describes it as "partial 16S ribosomal RNA". It matches the Rfam family "Bacterial small subunit ribosomal RNA", at positions 28 to 507 of the family's 1533-position model. The record is from RNAcentral.
GACGAACGCUGGCGGCGUGCCUAACACAUGCAAGUCGAACGGAACUGUUUUGAAAGAUUUCUUCGGAAUGAAUUUGAUUUCGUUUAGUGGCGGACGGGUGAGUAACGCGUGAGUAACCUGCCUUCAAGAGGGGAAUAACAUUCUGAAAAGAAUGCUAAUACCGCAUGACAUAUCGGAACCACAUGGUUUUGAUAUCAAAGAUUUUAUCGCUUGAAGAUGGACUCGCGUCCGAUUAGUUAGUUGGUGAGGUAACGGCUCACCAAGACCGCGAUCGGUAGCCGGACUGAGAGGUUGAACGGCCACAUUGGGACUGAGACACGGCCCAGACUCCUACGGGAGGCAGCAGUGGGGGAUAUUGCGCAAUGGGGGCAACCCUGACGCAGCAACGCCGCGUGAAGGAUGAAGGUUUUCGGAUUGUAAACUUCUUUUAUUAAGGACGAAAAAUGACGGUACUUAAUGAAUAAGCUCCGGCUAACUACGUG